This 239-nucleotide ribosomal RNA is filed under the name uncultured Lactobacillus sp. RNAcentral describes it as "partial 16S ribosomal RNA". It matches the Rfam family "Bacterial small subunit ribosomal RNA", at positions 122 to 355 of the family's 1533-position model. Lineage: Bacteria; Bacillati; Bacillota; Bacilli; Lactobacillales; Lactobacillaceae. The record is from RNAcentral.
UAACCUGCCCAAGAGAUCGGGAUAACACCUGGAAACAGAUGCUAAUACCGGAUAACAACAGAUGAUGCCUAUCAACUGUUUAAAAGAUGGUUCUGCUAUCACUCUUGGAUGGGCCUGCGGUGCAUUAGCUAGUUGGUAGGGUAACGGCCUACCAAGGCGAUGAUGCAUAGCCGAGUUGAGAGACUGAUCGGCCACAUUGGGACUGAGACACGGCCCAAACUCCUACGGGAGGCAGCAGC